GGACUAUGGCUCAGUGGUAGAAUGCUUGCCUAGAACGCAUGAUGCACUGGGUUUAAUCCUCAGAACCA
Molecule: transfer RNA, 68 nt
Filed under: Marmota monax (woodchuck)
Lineage: Eukaryota; Metazoa; Chordata; Mammalia; Rodentia; Sciuridae
Description: tRNA.Ser
Source: RNAcentral